This is a long non-coding RNA of Sitodiplosis mosellana (orange wheat blossom midge), 1159 nucleotides long. RefSeq lists it as uncharacterized. NCBI's taxonomy places the organism in Eukaryota, Metazoa, Arthropoda, Insecta, Diptera, Cecidomyiidae. The record is from RefSeq and is a predicted model, not a curated record. The transcript has 3 exons.
CCGACUUUUGGUGUAUUUUAAGUACCAGUCAGUGCUUAGACACUUUUGUAGAUAUGUAUAUUCGGAAUCUUCGGAAAAUUCAAACUCAAAAACAAACUCCAGAUACCAGAUGUCCAAAGCAACGGAGAAGCCGAAAACUGGAUCUUACGUUAUAGGUGAUAUUUUCUGGAUCCACCAGAUGUGGGCCAGACUUAUAAUUCCGUCCAAGCGACAGCGACAUCGUUUUUUCACUGUAUUUUCGAUCAUAAACGAAACGGGCAGCAUGGCGUGAUCUCGUGUUUGAAUCUGCGGCACUCAUGAGGUCAUCGAUUUCCAAGUGUUCCAAUAUUCCUUCGAUACAAUCGAUGUUCAAAUCGGUUCAGAAAAUGUCUAAUGCUCAAACUUGUACUGAUGCUGUUUCUGUUCUUUCGAUCUGAGAGCUAACUUGCAACUGAUUCUUCUGAUCGAUUGGUCACUUGCUACGACCGCUUCGAAAUGGAAAGGAAAGGAAAAGAGCAAAGAAAUCGAGUAAAAAGGACAUGUCAUUAGGACAUUCAUGAACAAUGAGUAAUUAAGCAUGCCAGACAAUGUUCCUAAUUGAAGCAAAGAUUUGGUUCCUCAUUAUGCUGCAGUUAAAUGGAAACGUUGAAAGAGCAAAUGACACGAAAUAGAAGAGAGUGAGAUUAUUUUUCAUCAAAUGACUUUGCUUAUGUAUUCGAAAAUUUCCAGUGACGUACUCAACCGAAGAAAUGGAUUGAAAUAUGAGAAAUAGCAUCAUCACACAUGGACAAUUAUAACUUCGAAUUUAUGAAAUAUUUGUGUUAGACACGAACGGUUUCUAUCGUUUCAAAUGAAUAUGAAUGACUCCCCCUUUUUCACAAGUAAUUUAUUUCAACUUGUAUUUUCUGCGUUGGACGUUGACUGACUGUUUUAAGUCUAGCUCAUCUCCUUUUAUACGAUUUUGUCGGCAAGGAGUACUUUUUAGACACCAAUGCUGAAUAAUUCAAAAUAUUGUCGUUGUGAAUAGGUCAGCCGAAAAACUAUCAUUGGACACGACAUUGAUUUGAUUGCACGAAAUUGAUGCCAGAAAAAAUUGUACACGGAUUUGAGAUAAAAAAAUUUCCUUUUUCUUCAACUUUGUCCCUUCCUUGUCAGCGCAUAUGUUUAAUAAAUCGAUAUU